RNAcentral lists this ribosomal RNA (474 nucleotides) under uncultured archaeon. Its description in RNAcentral is "bacterial SSU rRNA". It matches the Rfam family "Archaeal small subunit ribosomal RNA", at positions 365 to 842 of the family's 1478-position model. The record is from RNAcentral.
GUGUGAUAGGGGAACCCUGAGUGCUCAGCUAUGCUGGGCUUUUGCCAAGAUUAAAACCCUUGGCGAAUAAGUGGUGGGUAAGACGGGUGCCASCCGCCGCGGUAACACCCGCGCCACAAGUGGCAAUCAGUAUUAUUGGGCCUAAAGCGUCCGUAGCAGGUUUUGUAAAUCUCCUGUGAAAUUGUUCAGCUCAACUGAACAACGUGCAAGAGACACUGCAGAACUUGGGACCGGGAGGAGUCAGAGGUAUUCCAUGGGGAGCGGUAAAAUGCUAUAAUCCAUGGAGGACCACCUAUGGCGAAGGCAUCUGACCAGAACGGAUCCGACUGUGAGGGACGAAAGCCAGGGGAGCAAACCGGAUUAGAUACCCGAGUAGUCCUGGCUGUAAACGCUGCGAGCUAGGUGUUGCGCAAUCUUAGUGAUUGUGCAGUAUCGGAGCGAAGGUGUUAAGCUCGCCGCCUGGGAAGUACGGUC